GAUGAAGAACGUAGCGAAAUGCGAUAAGUAAUGUGAAUUGCAGAAUUCAGUGAAUCAUCGAAUCUUUGAACGCACCUUGCACCCUUUGGCAUUCCGAAGGGUAUGCUCGUUUGAGUGUCAUUGUACUCUCACACUCUCCGAUCCUAUGGAUUCGGGGAGCGGUGGACUUGGGUGUUGCUGCCUUUCCUUGUGGCUCACCUCAAAUGUGUCAGUGCACCUCUUGGUUGGACAUAGUACGGCGUGAUAAGUGUCUUCGCCGGCACCUCGCAAGAGGGUGGACGAUCGGGAGCUCUGUGCUUUCAAACCGUCUUCGGACAAUUUCUGACAACUUGACCUCAAAUCGAGUAGGACUACCCGCUGAACUUAAGCAUAUCAAUAAGCGGAGGA
This 387-nucleotide unclassified non-coding RNA is filed under the name soil metagenome. RNAcentral describes it as "partial contains 5.8S ribosomal RNA, internal transcribed spacer 2, and large subunit ribosomal RNA". The stretch from base 1 to 120 matches the Rfam family "5.8S ribosomal RNA", at positions 35 to 154 of the family's 154-position model. The record is from RNAcentral.